RNAcentral lists this ribosomal RNA (1194 nucleotides) under Salmonella enterica. RNAcentral's name for it is "partial 23S ribosomal RNA". It matches the Rfam family "Bacterial large subunit ribosomal RNA", at positions 57 to 1190 of the family's 2925-position model. Lineage: Bacteria; Pseudomonadati; Pseudomonadota; Gammaproteobacteria; Enterobacterales; Enterobacteriaceae. The record is from RNAcentral.
CGUGCUAAUCUGCGAUAAGCGCCGGUAAGGUGAUAUGAACCGUUAUAACCGGCGAUACCCGAAUGGGGAAACCCAGUGUGAUUCGUCACACUAUCAUUAACUGAAUCCAUAGGUUAAUGAGGCGAACCGGGGGAACUGAAACAUCUAAGUACCCCGAGGAAAAGAAAUCAACCGAGAUUCCCCCAGUAGCGGCGAGCGAACGGGGAGGAGCCCAGAGCCUGAAUCAGCAUGUGUGUUAGUGGAAGCGUCUGGAAAGGCGCGCGAUACAGGGUGACAGCCCCGUACACAAAAGCGCAUGUGCUGUGAGCUCGAUGAGUAGGGCGGGACACGUGGUAUCCUGUCUGAAUAUGGGGGGACCAUCCUCCAAGGCUAAAUACUCCUGACUGACCGAUAGUGAACCAGUACCGUGAGGGAAAGGCGAAAAGAACCCCGGCGAGGGGAGUGAAAAAGAACCUGAAACCGUGUACGUACAAGCAGUGGGAGCCCCACCACCAAAGCAUUCUCUGGUGUUGAAGGCCCUGCAAAGCAGCAUCGCGGUGGCGGAGCGUCGUUUGCGACGCCCAACACACAAAACAAGCGGUGAGUGCUUUGGGGUGGGGUGACUGCGUACCUUUUGUAUAAUGGGUCAGCGACUUAUAUUCUGUAGCAAGGUUAACCGAAUAGGGGAGCCGGAGGGAAACCGAGUCUUAAUUGGGCGUUAAGUUGCAGGGUAUAGACCCGAAACCCGGUGAUCUAGCCAUGGGCAGGUUGAAGGUUGGGUAACACUAACUGGAGGACCGAACCGACUAAUGUUGAAAAAUUAGCGGAUGACCUGUGGCUGGGGGUGAAAGGCCAAUCAAACCGGGAGAUAGCUGGUUCUCCCCGAAAGCUAUUUAGGUAGCGCCUCGUGAAUUCAUCUCCGGGGGUAGAGCACUGUUUCGGCUAGGGGGCCAUCCCGGCUUACCAACCCGAUGCAAACUGCGAAUACCGGAGAAUGUUAUCACGGGAGACACACGGCGGGUGCUAACGUCCGUCGUGAAGAGGGAAACAACCCAGACCGCCAGCUAAGGUCCCAAAGUCAUGGUUAAGUGGGAAACGAUGUGGGAAGGCCCAGACAGCCAGGAUGUUGGCUUAGAAGCAGCCAUCAUUUAAAGAAAGCGUAAUAGCUCACUGGUCGAGUCGGCCUGCGCGGAAGAUGUAACGGGGCUAAACCAU